This is a non-coding RNA of Dicentrarchus labrax (European seabass), 142 nucleotides long. Ensembl annotates it as small Cajal body-specific RNA 1. The record is from Ensembl. Lineage: Eukaryota; Metazoa; Chordata; Actinopteri; Moronidae.
AUGCACCAGAUACAAGCCUGACAGUCCACCUCGGUUUUCUAUGGCUGCAUGGCUUCAAACGGUGCAAAAGCAACAUUAGCCCCGAGAUUUAAGCUUUUCAGUGGGAAGUAACACUGUUGAGUUAUGGCUCAGGGGCACAUUG